This 254-nucleotide ribosomal RNA is filed under the name uncultured bacterium. Its description in RNAcentral is "partial 16S ribosomal RNA". It matches the Rfam family "Bacterial small subunit ribosomal RNA", at positions 524 to 776 of the family's 1533-position model. The record is from RNAcentral.
UACGUAGGGGGCAAGCGUUGUCCGGAUUCAUUGGGCGUAAAGAGCGUGUAGGCGGCCAGAUAGGUCAGCUGUGAAAACUCGGGGGCUCAACCCUGAGACGUCGGAUGAACCAUCUGGCUAGAGUCCGGAAGAGGAGUGUGGAAUUCCCGGUGUAGCGGUGAAAUGCGCAGAUAUCGGGAAGAACACCCGUGGCGAAGGCGGCACUCUGGGACGGUACUGACGCUGAGACGCGAAAAGCGUGGGGAGCGAACAGG